AAGAACAAUUGAAGGGAUGUGGCGCAGCUUGGUAGCGCGUUUGUUUUGGGUACAAAAUGUCACGGGUUCAAAUCCUGUCAUCCCUA
Molecule: transfer RNA, 86 nt
Filed under: Teucrium betchei
Lineage: Eukaryota; Viridiplantae; Streptophyta; Magnoliopsida; Lamiales; Lamiaceae
Also listed under: 3 other names
Description: tRNA-Pro
Rfam family: tRNA (bases 13-86)
About the family: Transfer RNA (tRNA) molecules are approximately 80 nucleotides in length. Their secondary structure includes four short double-helical elements and three loops (D, anti-codon, and T loops).
Source: RNAcentral